UACGAAGGGUGCAAGCGUUACUCGGAAUUACUGGGCGUAAAGCGUGCGUAGGUGGUUUUUUAAGUCCGUUGUGAAAGCCCUGGGCUCAACCUGGGAAUGGCAGUGGAUACUGGAAAGCUAGAGUGCGGUAGAGGGUAGUGGAAUUCCCGGUGUAGCAGUGAAAUGCGUAGAGAUCGGGAGGAACACCAGUGGCGAAAGCGGUCCGCUGGCCCUCUACUGACGCUGAGGCGCGAAAGCCAGGGGAGCAAACGGG
This 253-nucleotide ribosomal RNA is filed under the name uncultured bacterium. Its description in RNAcentral is "partial 16S ribosomal RNA". It matches the Rfam family "Bacterial small subunit ribosomal RNA", at positions 524 to 776 of the family's 1533-position model. The record is from RNAcentral.